This 476-nucleotide unclassified non-coding RNA is filed under the name Hevea brasiliensis (rubber tree). The record is from RNAcentral. Lineage: Eukaryota; Viridiplantae; Streptophyta; Magnoliopsida; Malpighiales; Euphorbiaceae.
UGGUUUUUCAGUUAGGGCACUUUUUAAUUAGCUAGUGUUUAUUUUAGGAGGAGCUUGUGUAUACAGUUUGUAUAAGUAAAUAAAAGCUACAAUUUAGCUUGCUUUUCGAAGCUCCUUUAGGGAUUUGUUCUCUGUCUAGAUCUCUCUCACAAGCUUCUUGUUAUGGUUAUUUAUUGUUCACAAGUUUCUUUAAUAUCCUUUUGUGCUUCUGUAUGUGUCGUUCUUGCAUGGAAAACCCAUGAAUCAUUCUUUGUUCGCCCUUUAAAAUCAUAGGGAGUAAACAAAGAGAAUUAUUGGUCACCCAAAGAGGUGUUUCAGAGCACGAGAGCUGCUGUUUCAACUGUGUAACAAUGUGAUAUAGCUAGCUAGCUAGCAAUAGUUUGGCCACAAACAUGCGUAAGUGUUCCCACGUGUAUGAUUUCAAGUUCAAAGCAAAUGACAUGCAAGUCAAUAUCUAAACAAGCAGCCAAAACUUG